This 303-nucleotide ribosomal RNA is filed under the name Triticum aestivum (bread wheat). Its description in RNAcentral is "partial small subunit ribosomal RNA". Lineage: Eukaryota; Viridiplantae; Streptophyta; Magnoliopsida; Poales; Poaceae. The record is from RNAcentral.
AUGGAGAUGAAAACUUUGGAGGGCGAGCUGGAGGAGCUUGAGAAGGGCGUGGAGCCUGCGUGGGAAAGCUUGGUCCACCUGCUCAAGCGCAUCGUCGACAGGCUGAACGUCGUUGACCACAUCAAGGCCGUCAAGGACUCGCCCGACCUCCGUGCCGCCGUCGAGGAUGUCCAGAUGCUGGCGUUUCAUGUUUCGUCGCGAGCAUCAAGACGAAGAAGUCGGAAGAAGCAUAGUUCAAGCUCAUCGGAGCUAGUUCAAGGAGUAACGAAGCCCUUGAUGCUGAUCCGUAUUGGAACAAAUUGA